GGUCCCUGUCCUUUGUUCUGUUAUCUUGCAGUGGUUGAAUGUAGGUGGGGAGACCCCAGAGGUGAGGGGCAGAUGGGGGGAGGUGUAAUCUGGGCAGGAAGGGCCUGGGGCCGCUUCUGAUUAGCACCUCCCUGUUUGCUGGGAGCUGUUUCAUUAACAUUUCUUUGGGACAGGCUCUGGGCCUUGGGGACAUUAACAUUUCAAUUUCCCCGAGGGCUGCUCUGCUUUCCGGGGCUCCAUUCUCCAUGUGGCCUUCAGUUUUUAUCUUACUACACUAACUACCUCUCUUUAAAUCUGGCUUCACCACGAUGGAAGAGCAUCUAGGAGAAGACACCUGCCAGGGUAGAGAGGCCAGAGAAAUCCCAAGGGUUCCCACUAACCCCUGCAGUAGCUGUUAGGUUGGUGGCGACUUAGUGGCAACUUAGAACAAAGCAGCCCGCACCGGAAAAGAACAUCAAUCAGAUGCUGGCUGAAAUGCCUGUCAAUCAGCCAGAUCUCCCGACUAACGCCUGUCAAUCAGCAGGACCCCCUGGCCAAUCCUGGAAUUCAGCCAACUCCCCUGACCAACUCCAAGGGGCCAAGGGACCCUAAAAACACCUUUUCCUGUCCCAAGCCCUUCCCUUCCUGCUGUAAGCCCCAUAAAAGUCCAGUCCGGUCGAGCUUCCACGCGGUUUCUCCUCAGACCCUUCUCCUGUCCCCUCUGUGGGAGUGAUAUCUCAAUAAAGCCUGUUCAGCGGCCCUUUUAAAUCUGCGUCCUUUGGCCAUUGCCUGCCCCCACUGAUCUGACACCAGACAUUGAG
RNAcentral lists this long non-coding RNA (800 nucleotides) under Marmota monax (woodchuck). The record is from RNAcentral. Lineage: Eukaryota; Metazoa; Chordata; Mammalia; Rodentia; Sciuridae.